Molecule: long non-coding RNA, 1149 nt
Filed under: Canis lupus familiaris (dog)
Lineage: Eukaryota; Metazoa; Chordata; Mammalia; Carnivora; Canidae
Description: lncRNA (ENSCAFG00000051065.1)
Source: RNAcentral
GGGAGAAGAGGCGAGGGGGGCGGGGGAGCGGGAGGCGGCGAAGAGGGGCGGGGGGAGGCCCUGCGCAUGCGUGCCAGCGCCCAUGCAAAUCUGCUGUACAUCCAGGGAGCGAAGUGGGAUGAUCUGUCACUACACCUGCAGCACCACGCUCGGAGGACAGCUCCUGCUCGCAGCUUCCAGACUCAGGUAAAAAAAAAAAAAAAAAAAAAAAAAAAAAUUGUGAGCGGGCGCCGUGCAUGCAUUUCAAUACCAGAUGCGCGUCGCAACCUAGCCCCUGUAGAGGCAAUCUGCUGCUGCUGCUGCUGCUAAGUGUCCUUUGGUGGCUGGUUGCAGCUUCAAGGUUUAAGAAAUCCCAUCUUUCAGGAAGCCUGAGGGGAAGGAAGGAAGUACGGGCGAAAUCAUCAGAUUGGCUUCCCAGAUUUGGGGAUCUGAAGCGGGCCCACGUCUUCCGGCCAACUUCCAUUGAACUUCCAGCACUCGAAAGGGACCGAAAUGGAGAGCAAAGAAAAAGCAUAUGCUGGCUUUUUAGCUGAAACAAACCCCAUCACCAGUGAAUCAGAGGAUGCAGAUAAGUGAAAGUGGGCUUUAUUUUUUUAAGCUUUUUUACUCUUUAUUUUUUAUUUUUUUACUUUUUUUUGUUUUUGGUUUGUUUAAAUUCAAUUUGCCAACAUAUAGUAUUUAAACUCUGCGAAAAAAGGAAAUGAAGCUGCUGUUCUGUGGUUAGGUUUUUUUGUUUCUCUUCUGCUUCCAGACUGCUAUUAGCCUGAGAAGCAGUGGCAAAGCGAUUACUCUGUAGAAAAACAACAACAACAACAACAACAAAACACCCAGAAGCUUUCAGAGGCCAUUCAGAAGAUAACUAAACCCAGCAAAAAUUCCCUUAACCAGAAGUCAGGAGGAUGCAGCAAUGCCAAUCUGCCAAUAAUGUGUCCAUCUCUCCUUACCCCAUUCAUUCCUACAGUUAUCACCCAUGUGAAACAAUUGGGUUUUUCUUCAAUCCUCAAAUACUGAUAAUGUUCAAAUUGGUCGAGCAAAUCUUACACAUUAAUUGGGACAUUCCUUUUCAACUUUUUGGAAACCAAAAACCUAGAUAUGUUUCUGACUUCCAAAAAAAAAAUGACAUAAUUAUUCUGAUUGUUAAAAUCUGCU